Molecule: ribosomal RNA, 391 nt
Filed under: Salmonella enterica
Lineage: Bacteria; Pseudomonadati; Pseudomonadota; Gammaproteobacteria; Enterobacterales; Enterobacteriaceae
Description: bacterial SSU rRNA
Rfam family: Bacterial small subunit ribosomal RNA
Source: RNAcentral
AAAUUGAAGAGUUUGAUCAUGGCUCAGAUUGAACGCUGGCGGCAGGCCUAACACAUGCAAGUCGAACGGUAGCACAGAGAGCUUGCUCUCGGGUGACGAGUGGCGGACGGGUGAGUAAUGUCUGGGAAACUGCCUGAUGGAGGGGGAUAACUACUGGAAACGGUGGCUAAUACCGCAUAACGUCGCAAGACCAAAGAGGGGGACCUUCGGGCCUCUUGCCAUCAGAUGUGCCCAGAUGGGAUUAGCUAGUUGGUGAGGUAACGGCUCACCAAGGCGACGAUCCCUAGCUGGUCUGAGAGGAUGACCAGCCACACUGGAACUGAGACACGGUCCAGACUCCUACGGGAGGCAGCAGUGGGGAAUAUUGCACAAUGGGCGCAAGCCUGAUGCA